Molecule: ribosomal RNA, 857 nt
Filed under: uncultured archaeon
Lineage: Archaea
Description: bacterial SSU rRNA
Rfam family: Archaeal small subunit ribosomal RNA
Source: RNAcentral
CCUACUGCUAUCGGGGUGGGACUAAGACAUGCGAGUUGAGCGUCUCUAGCUAUGUUGAGACGCGGCAUACGGCUCAGUAACACGUGGUUAACCUACCCUCAGGACAGGGACAAACCCGGGAAACUGGGGCUAAUACCAGAUAGGCGAGGACGCCUGGAAUGGUUCUUCACCCAAAGGACCUUGGAAACAUGCUUCCAAGUCGCCUGGGGAUGGGACCGCGUCCGAUCAGGUUGUUGGUGAGGUAACGGCUCACCAAGCCUAUAACCGGUACGGGCCGUGAGAGCGGUAGCCCGGAGAUGGGCACUGAGACAAGGGCCCAGGCCCUACGGGGCGCAGCAGUCGCGAAAACUCCGCAAUGCACGAAAGUGUGACGGGGCUACCCCGAGUGCCGUCCGCUGAGGACGGCUUUUCCCCGGUGUAACUAGCCGGGGGAAUAAGGAGAGGGCAAGACUGGUGUCAGCCGCCGCGGUAAUACCAGCUCUCCGAGUUGUAGGGAUGAUUAUUGGGCUUAAAGCGUCCGUAGCCGGCUUGGCAAGUCUCCUGUUAAAUUCAGCGACCCAAUCGUUGAGCCGCGGGAGAUACUACUAGGCUAGGAGGCGGGAGAGGUCGACGGUACUUUCGGGGUAGGGGUGAAAUCCUAUAAUCCCGGGAGGACCACCAGUGGCGAAGGCUGUCGACUAGAACGCGCUCGACGGUGAGGGACGAAAGCUGGGGGAGCGAACCGGAUUAGAUACCCGGGUAGUCCCAGCUGUAAACGAUGCGGGCUAGGUGUUGGGGUGGCUACGUGCCACUUCAGUGCCGCAGGGAAGCCAUUAAGCCCGCCGCCUGGGGAGUACGGCCGCAAGGCUGAAACUUAA